AUUGAACGCUGGCGGCAUGCCUUACACAUGCAAGUCGAACGGCAGCACGGGGGCAACCCUGGUGGCGAGUGGCGAACGGGUGAGUAACAUAUCGGAACAUACCCUAGAGUGGGGGAUAACGUAGCGAAAGUUACGCUAAUACCGCAUACGAUCUAAGGAUGAAAGUGGGGGAUCUUCGGACCUCAUGCUCAUGGAGUGGCCGAUAUCUGAUUAGCUAGUUGGUGAGGUAAAGGCUCACCAAGGCGACGAUCAGUAGCUGGUUUGAGAGAACGACCAGCCACACUGGAACUGAGACACGGUCCAGACUCCUACGGGAGGCAGCAGUGGGGAAUUUUGGACAAUGGGGGCGAACCCUGAUCCAGCAAUGCCGCCGUGAGUGAAGAAGGCCU
This 389-nucleotide ribosomal RNA is filed under the name uncultured bacterium. Its description in RNAcentral is "bacterial SSU rRNA". It matches the Rfam family "Bacterial small subunit ribosomal RNA", at positions 30 to 417 of the family's 1533-position model. The record is from RNAcentral.